UAAGUCGGAUGUGAAAUCCCCGAGCUUAACUUGGGAAUUGCAUUCGAUACUGGGAAGCUAGAGUAUGGGAGAGGAUGGUAGAAUUCCAGGUGUAGCGGUGAAAUGCGUAGAGAUCUGGAGGAAUACCGAUGGCGAAGGCAGCCAUCUGGCCUAAUACUGACGCUGAGGUACGAAAGCAUGGGGAGCAAACAGGAUUAGAUACCCUGGUAGUCCAUGCCGUAAACGAUGUCUACUAGCCGUUGGGGCCUUUGAGGCUUUAGUGGCGCAGCUAACGCGAUAAGUAGACCGCCUGGGGAGUACGGUCGCAAGACUAAAACUCAAAUGAAUUGACGGGGGCCCGCACAAGCGGUGGAGCAUGUGGUUUAAUUCGAUGCAACGCGAAGAACCUUACCUGGCCUUGACAUACUAGAAACUUUCCAGAGAUGGAUUGGUGCCUUCGGGAAUCUAGAUACAGGUGCUGCAUGGCUGUCGUCAACUCGUGUCGUGAGAUGUUCGGUUAAGUCUCGCAACGAGCGCAACCCUUUUCCUUACUUGCCAGCAUUUCGGAUGGGAACUUUAAGGAUACUGCCAGUGACAAACUGGAGGAAGGCGGGGACGACGUCAAGUCAUCAUGGCCCUUACGGCCAGGGCUACACACGUGCUACAAUGGUCGGUACAAAGGGUUGCUACCUAGCGAUAGGAUGCUAAUCUCAAAAAGCCGAUCGUAGUCCGGAUUGGAGUCUGCAACUCGACUCCAUGAAGU
Molecule: ribosomal RNA, 742 nt
Filed under: uncultured bacterium
Lineage: Bacteria
Description: bacterial SSU rRNA
Rfam family: Bacterial small subunit ribosomal RNA
Source: RNAcentral